UCGAGAAUCUUUCGCAAUGGGCGAAAGCCUGACGAAGCGACGCCGUGUGUGUGAUGAAGGCCUUUGGGUUGUAAAACACUUUCGCCUGGGAACAAGAGAGAUUGGCUAAUAUCCAGUCGAUUUGAGGGUACUAGGUAAAGAAGCACCGGCUAACUCCGUGCCAGCAGCUGCGGUAAUACGGAGGGUGCAAGCAUUAAUCGGAUUUAUUGGGCGUGAAGAGCGCGUAGGCGGGAAGGAAAGUUAGAUGUGAAAGCUCGGAGCUCAACUUCGAAGACGCAUCUAAAACUACUUUUCUAGAGGAUGGAUGGAGAAAAUGGAAUUCCACGUGUAGCGGUGAAAUGCGUAGAUAUGUGGAAGAACACCAGUGGCGAAGGCGAUUUUCUAAUUUAUUCCUGACGCUGAGGCGCGAAAGCAAGGGGAGCAAACAGG
This 429-nucleotide ribosomal RNA is filed under the name uncultured bacterium. RNAcentral describes it as "bacterial SSU rRNA". It matches the Rfam family "Bacterial small subunit ribosomal RNA", at positions 355 to 776 of the family's 1533-position model. The record is from RNAcentral.